CGCCCUUAGAGUUUGAUCCUGGCUCAGGAUGAACGCUAGCUACAGGCUUAACACAUGCAAGUCGAGGGGAAACGACAUCGAAAGCUUGCUUUUGAUGGGCGUCGACCGGCGCACGGGUGAGUAACGCGUAUCCAACCUGCCCACCACUUGGGGAUAACCUUGCGAAAGUAAGACUAAUACCCAAUGACGUCUCUAGAAGACAUCUGAAGGAGAUUAAAGAUUUAUCGGUGAUGGAUGGGGAUGCGUCUGAUUAGCUUGUUGGCGGGGUAACGGCCCACCAAGGCGACGAUCAGUAGGGGUUCUGAGAGGAAGGUCCCCCACAUUGGAACUGAGACACGGUCCAAACUCCUACGGGAGGCAGCAGUGAGGAAUAUUGGUCAAUGGACGAGAGUCUGAACCAGCCAAGUAGCGUGCAGGAUGACGGCCCUAUGGGUUGUAAACUGCUUUUAUAAGGGAAUAAAGUGAGUCUCGUGAGACUUUUUGCAUGUACCUUAUGAAUAAGGACCGGCUAAUUCCGUGCCAGCAGCCGCGGUAAUACGGAAGGUCCGGGCGUUAUCCGGAUUUAUUGGGUUUAAAGGGAGCGUAGGCCGGAGAUUAAGCGUGUUGUGAAAUGUAGAUGCUCAACAUCUGCACUGCAGCGCGAACUGGUUUCCUUGAGUACGCACAAAGUGGGCGGAAUUCGUGGUGUAGCGGUGAAAUGCUUAGAUAUCACGAAGAACUCCGAUUGCGAAGGCAGCUCACUGGAGCGCAACUGACGCUGAAGCUCGAAAGUGCGGGUAUCGAACAGGAUUAGAUACCCUGGUAGUCCGCACGGUAAACGAUGGAUGCCCGCUGUUGGUCUGAAUAGGUCAGCGGCCAAGCGAAAGCAUUAAGCAUCCCACCUGGGGAGUACGCCGGCAACGGUGAAACUC
Molecule: ribosomal RNA, 911 nt
Filed under: uncultured bacterium
Lineage: Bacteria
Description: bacterial SSU rRNA
Rfam family: Bacterial small subunit ribosomal RNA
Source: RNAcentral